GAUGUAUAUGUUCUCCACUACAUAUGGCAACAACACAAUAUAAAGUUUGUUUCUAUUUUUGUCUUACAGGCUCACUUCUAUGGUUCUCUGUUUGAGAUCUAAUUUUUCAAGAGCUUCUUCAGUCUUCCUUUGAAAGUUUUCUGCUGCCCUAAGGUGUUUCAGCUGCAUACAUGACACAGAGCCAGCCAGGUUCAGUCUGUUAUGGGAUUUGUCCCCUCCUGGCCCUUGGAUGGAGAUCCCAGCUUGACUGAGCAUAGUUUCCAUGGUGGCAGCAGGACUCUGAUAUAGAAGCUGUCACUCUAGUAUGCAGAUAAAAUAAUUUUCAAAAUGUUUUUCCACACUUUCAAGCUAUCUCCAGAAGAGUGAAAAACAAGGUUUGGAAAUAGACAAACCAGCAUUUUCUGAAAUUCUGCAAGUCAGGGUAAUUGUUUGCCAAUGCAUUGGAUGUCAGGGAUACCCAUUGACUCACUAUGACUGUUUUAAGAUCUGAGGGUCACCUAAACUACUUCUCAAAGGCUUUUCACCUCCCACAGUUCUUGAACAAUGCAAAUGUCUCCUAAUAAAUAGCAUGUUUUAGCUUCAAAGUUCUUUUUUUGCCAAAUAAUGAGAUCAUGGAAGCUUUGUUCUUAAUGGAUAGAUUCUUUAUGCCUCUUUUAUGUUUUGAGAUGGAUCAACCAAAACAGAGAAUAAAUACUGGGACUGUCCUUUGUUCACUUGUUUGUAAUCACUCUUUAACUCUCUUAAGGGCUUGAGGUUUUUUUGGAAAAGGGGUUUAAUUGCUCAUGCUUUGUUUGAUGCAUGUUGGGACAUGCAAUUACUGUUAAGUAGGAAUGCUGUGUAGGCACUCAUAUAAAUAAAUAGCACUUUUUAAAAUCUCCCAACUCUCAGGUUUUCUUUUAAUCAACCAGUGAAGAGCAGCAGAUCUUGAGAGGCUUUUAAAAUAUUUUCUAACUUUGUACUUUUUGUUCUGUAAAAAUAUAAACUUCUUUAAAAAUUGCAUUGAAAAGAAAUGUAACAUCCCCUCAAAACCUUCCUUUUACCCAUCAAACCUAGGGGCCAUUAUUUUUUUUUCUGUAUGCAGGUCAAAGAGAAGAAACAAAGCAAAAGUAACACAGCUGAAUUUUGUCUCAGGAUUUGGAAUUUCUUAAAAUUAUUUUUCACUUUCCAUAAAAAUCCUACUUUUUUCCCCUGAAUCUUUGCUAUUUAAACAUGAUCGCAGACAUUUUUUCUGACUUUUUUUUGAUGCAACCCAAGCUACUGGCAAACAAAGGAAAUUCUAAAUUUUCUCAUUAAGUACCUAUAAAUCCAAAAUAAUUUUCCUUUCAUUUUAAUCUUUAGGUCUGCAUUAACUCUCAUUUGUUCUUAUUCUGAGGAAAAUAAAGCAUAUUUCUGGAAUUUAAACCUUGAUCAAUCAGAGGAAGAAAUUUGCCUUCAGCUGAAUUCCUGCCUGAAGCACUGGACAGAUUUCAGGUGUUUGCAGACCCAGAGGAGCCCUGAGCACAGUGCCGGCCACAACUCCAGCAUCUGAAAACGGGAACCAUAAGCACCAUUAGGACCUACUUGUGACCUUCAAAGAGAGGGUGCCAAACUAUACCUUGGAAUGCCAGGAUUUCAUACAGAGAAGCCAAAAAGUGAUAAGAAAAGACCUAAAUGUUGACUUCAAUUUGCACAUCUGGCCUGUCAAACUCCAGACUUAAUUGUCUUACCUGUAGUGACUUUUUGUGAGCCGUCUUCCUUUCCAGAGGAAAAGAAAAAUCAUUAAGAGGAGUAGAAGGAAAUUCAAGGAACAGCUGUACUAAGAAGUUAUUAAAAUGAAAGCUGAGAAGCAUCUGGGAGACUCACAGAUUGGACAUGCUGAACCAAGCACAAGGGCAGUGACAUCUCCACUGAAAAAGCUUUAUUUGCAUAACACAUCAAGGGUAGUAUCUGCCUGAGUCCCACGUGGGAGACACUCUGGACUAUAUAAUUCUGAAUCAGGGCAUAAAAGCUGCAGCCACAGAUUCUCCUGGAGGAUUUUACAGAACAUUGUGAAGGAACACUUGGUUUUGUCUUUAUUGCACCACACAUGAGUGCCUCCAUCUCAUUAAUGCAGGAAAUGUGUUAUCUGAGCGAGAGGAGCUCGGAAGCUUGGAACAUCAGUGCUGUGCUUUAGAGCCGCCUUUUUUUCCAUUUUAUCUAUUAGAUGGCAAGGCAAAUUAAAUGUCUCAUCGUGAUGAAAUAACAGAUUCCUCAAAUGUGU
Molecule: long non-coding RNA, 2239 nt
Organism: Passer domesticus (house sparrow)
Lineage: Eukaryota; Metazoa; Chordata; Aves; Passeriformes; Passeridae
Exons: 4
Source: RefSeq, a predicted model, not a curated record